GCUUAAUUGGUAAAAGGCUUGUUUUGUAAACAUGGGGGUCUGAGUUCAAUUCCCAG
This 56-nucleotide transfer RNA is filed under the name Mesocricetus auratus (golden hamster). Lineage: Eukaryota; Metazoa; Chordata; Mammalia; Rodentia; Cricetidae. The record is from Rfam by way of RNAcentral.